This 216-nucleotide ribosomal RNA is filed under the name uncultured fungus. Its description in RNAcentral is "partial small subunit ribosomal RNA". It matches the Rfam family "Eukaryotic small subunit ribosomal RNA", at positions 652 to 864 of the family's 1831-position model. Lineage: Eukaryota; Fungi. The record is from RNAcentral.
GGACUAAUAUGUUGGUCAUGCCUCGGUAUGUACUGGCAUUGUUGGUUUCUACCUUCUGAAUAACCAUCAUGUCAUUAAUUUGGUGUGUUGGGGAAGCAGGACUAUUACCUUGAAAAAAUUAGAGUGCUCAAAGCAGGCUAGCGCCUGAAUACAUUAGCAUGGAAUAAUAAAAUAGGACGGCAUGGUUCUAUUUUGUUGGUUUCUAGGAUCACCGUA